MicroRNA precursor from Oryza rufipogon (brownbeard rice), 191 nucleotides. It matches the Rfam family "MIR812 microRNA precursor family". Lineage: Eukaryota; Viridiplantae; Streptophyta; Magnoliopsida; Poales; Poaceae. The record is from Rfam.
UUUCAGCAAAUAUCUCCAAGCUUGUUGCAUUUCGUCUUAUUUGAAUUUUUUUAUGGUUAGCAUUUUGGUUGUUAUUAGAUAAUAAAACAUGAACAAUACUUUAUGCAUGACUACGUUUUAAAUUUUUUUAAAAAAAAUUAAAUAAGACGAACGAUCAAAGUUGAACAUGAAAACUCAUGAUUGCGUUUAAA